ACAGAGGUGGCAAGCGUUGUUCGGAAUUACUGGGCGUAAAGGGCGCGUAGGCGGCCUUGUCAGUCAGACGUGAAAUCCCCAGGCUUAACCUGGGAACUGCGUCUGAUACUACAAGGCUGGAGUUCGGGAGAGGAAUGUGGAAUUCCAGGUGUAGCGGUGAAAUGCGUAGAUAUCUGGAGGAACACCGGUGGCGAAGGCGGCAUUCUGGACCGAAACUGACGCUGAUGCGCGAAAGCCAGGGGAGCAAACGGGA
RNAcentral lists this ribosomal RNA (253 nucleotides) under uncultured prokaryote. RNAcentral's name for it is "partial 16S ribosomal RNA". It matches the Rfam family "Bacterial small subunit ribosomal RNA", at positions 525 to 777 of the family's 1533-position model. The record is from RNAcentral.